This is a long non-coding RNA of Chlorocebus sabaeus (green monkey), 5688 nucleotides long. RefSeq lists it as uncharacterized. Lineage: Eukaryota; Metazoa; Chordata; Mammalia; Primates; Cercopithecidae. The record is from RefSeq and is a predicted model, not a curated record.
CUUCUUUUCAGAGUCUAAGCACAGAGGAAGCAGGGUGGCUUAUGGCUGCUCCGCUAAAACACGGUUAUAAUCCCAGUGCUUCCGUGAAACCUUGGGCAAGCCUGAACCAAGUCUGGGUCCCCUCUUCGGCAAAACUGCAUUUACACUCCCAUCCCUCAUUAGUUCGUUGGGAGGGUUAAAGAAGAGCGUGUAUUUAUCAAGGACUCGACACAAUGUCAGAUGCGGAGUCAGCGCUGCAUAAAUGUUGGCUGUCAUUUUUGUUCUAACAUAAGAGAAAGCUGGAUGAUCCCAUUUGGGUUUCAGCCCUGUUGCCCCUCUUCACUCCUCCGGUGGUUCAGUGGGAGCUCUGCCGACCGCCUGGCUGCGGCCACUCACUGCUGGGACUGCGCGGCCUGCCCCUGGCCUGGGUCCGGGCGCCUGUCUGCUCCCAGCAGCUGGUGGAGCCGCAGGACCCCCGCGCAGCCCGGGCCGCCGCCGUUAGGGUUGGCUCAAGCCUCUCGGCCCAGUCCGCCAGUUUUAUAGCCCGAACUCAAAGAGGGCUUUUAACUUUUCAUUCAGCAGCAGCGUAGCCCCGACUUUUAAUAACACACCUCGUGCACGACAAAAAUUUGCUCCUGGCAAUCAUGGUUUCGACCACAAAACCACAGCGGGGAGGCGUUCCUGGUUAACUCUUUCAGCGCUCCAGGCAGUCUGGAGCCGGCGCUCCUGGAGAUCAGAUAGACCGGCGGCGGCGGCCGCGGUCAGGACUGCGACGCUUCUCGGCCCCAUCCCCCAACCGAGUCGCGCCUCUGCGAGGCUGGGGGGAGACUCCAGGCGGCGGCGGUGGUGGGGCCCAGAGAGCACGGAGCGAGGCUGCGGGGGACGCUCCUGCCUCGGUGCCUUAGACCUACUGUGUGCCAAGCCCUUUUGCGGCGAAACUCUACUGGGCUGUCAACGGGGCCUGCCUGGAGGGCCGGGGGAUGGCAGGCGCUCCAGCGGGGAACAGGAGGUCACCAGCGAGGUCGCCAGCGGCUCCAGUUCCCCGGGGCCCCGACGCACCUUCAGGAAAACCCGACGGCAGCCACCUCGCGGGCUCUAGCUGUUUUCCCGCGAUACCCGGGCGGUCGGCGGCGACUUCCGGCGCCCACGGCCGCAGCCCAGGAUCCUUUGCGCCCUGCUGUAGCCCGGGGCUGCCCAGGGCUGCGGGCUCCAGGCACCCAGAGCGCUGCGACCACAUGAAAGGCCCGGCGCUCAGCACCCGCCAGCCACCGCCAGCUGGUUUCUAACUACACUGCCGGGGCCUCCAUGCUUCUCAGGGGCCAGCCUUCGAAUUGCCGCCUUACACCUGGGGCCUGCCCACCGGGCGGGCGCGGAUGGCGCUCCCGGUCCACAUUGGGGAGCUCACAGUUGUUCCUGCCAGAUGAGGAAAAUGAAGCCCAGAAAAAUUGAGAUCACCCAGGGACAGAGCCUGGAUUUGAACUUAGGUCAAGCCCACUACAGAGAGUACACAUGCUUAACCACCACACUGUAACCUUCCCACUUGGGACUGUUCCAGCCCACUAAACAAGUCCCUUUAGAGAAACUCAACUCUGCCUAAGACAGCUCUUAGAACUACCUCAAAGAAGUUCCUUUUGGCAAGAAGAUAGAAAGCCUCGAUGGGACUGGGAUUGUCUGAUUUCCAAGGCCCCUUCAGAGGAUCAAAAAGUGGUGCCAGAAACCUUCACAGUUUCAGUCUUGUGUUUCCCUGCCUGGCUCGAAACUGCUCAGCAAAGAGAAUGAGAAAAACUAUUUUCCCAGGGAAACACUCACCUCUAGCAUGAGACUGGGGCUUGCCUUGACACGCCAAAGAAAGAUCGUCAGCCCAUUCAUUUACCCUUACAAAUUGCUCUGUGAAUCCCGGUGCCGGCCUCCCCGCUCUUCCCCCUCCAGGAAACCCCAUCCAGCCUCCACGCCCCGAGAGCGGCAGGUAUCCACCGAUGUUUACUCACUCAAGUUCAUUCGACAUCUUCCUGCUCCCAGGCUCCGACGAUCAGCACUGAGGUUCUGCUGACCGCUUGUCUCUAAUUCUUGCCUGACACAGACAUUCUCUGCCCAGGGAAGUGUUUGAUUUAUGUUGAGGUUUGGGUGUCGAGAUUUUGCUGACAGAUGCAGAAGCUGAGACUUAAAAGAAGCUAUGAAACCUGAUCAGGUCAUGCAGCGCCAGAGGACCCAAGCUGGGAUCUCAACCCAGGCUGUUUGGCUCCAAAGCCGAACUGCUACAUUAUGUUGCUUCAGCAGUCAUUCAGCAGGAGAGACAGCACAGGACCGAGAGGCAAGAGAUCAAGGUUUGAGUUCCAGCUCUGCUGCUUGCUGGCUGUGUGACCUCAGACAAGUCAUCUUCCUUCUCUGAGCCAGUUUCUUCAACUGCGAAAUGAAUGGUUUGAGUUUGAAGGUCACUCAGGUUCUUUCUAACCGUCUGAGAUCUGUGACUUUGAAGGUGACAAAAAAAGAAAACAAAGGAAAAAAUAACAGCAGAUGCCUUUAUCAGCCAAGAUAACAUUUCAUAAACCCCAGGGCCUUGACACCAUCUUCAAAAGUCACCCCAUCCUGCAGUUUCUAGGCAGGACCUUCUCGAGCAGAUAGGGUGAAUGAACUAACUGUUUGCAAGACCGCAGAAAGCUUUCUGGAGCCCCAAGGAGGCCUCAGGGAAGGUGUAAGGCUAAAAAGCGAAGCCUGCAUCACAAAGGGAGCAGGCCUGAGAAAACCAGCUGACCCCAAACAUCAGACCUGAGGGAUUCUGCUUUUUGGUGCCUUGGGCAAGAAUUAUCCUCCACUUGACCAGAAUGGAUUAGUUUAUGGUGAGGGAGGGAUGUUGUCCCUAGAGCCUGGUGAUGUCCCCAUCUGUUGUAAAACAGGCCCCACCUGGGAAAUAGAACAUUAUCUUUUUUGGGGCCUAGUGACCUCUGACACCCCCACCCCCUGCUUCCUGGCCCACUACGCAGUCUGAGUCACACCCAGCAGGAGACCAAUGCUGGGAAUGGAGGAGGCAUUCAGCAUCCCCCUUACUCACAAGAGUCUCCACCGAGUUAUUCUUAAGCCCUGCUUGAACCCUGAGGGGGAUGACACGGGUGGGAUUUACAGAAAAUAAAACACAAUCAGUUUCAACUCGUUCUACCAGUUUUUGCCCCUUAUAGUACAAAGUCUCUUAACCAUCUUAAUGUAACAAAUUUCCCUUUACAGAGACAAUGGGCUUUAGAGGAGUUUAGUGAUGUUACUAACAAACAUAAGUACCUUUUACUAAGGUCCUGGUGCCCAAGUGUUUCAGGUGAAAAAACCUGAAACAUGAAAAGCCCAGAGAGGUAAAGUGACUGGCUCAAGGUAAGUGGUGGAGCUGGUAUUUGCACCCAGAUCCCCUGUUACUUCAGAACCUCAACUACCGCGGUGACUUUGUGUGCAAACCUGUCUGAAGCCUAUUGGUGAAGCUCUGCCAGCUAUGAAGAGGCACAGAUCUGCCUGCCGCCUUUGGAAGGUUCAGACUCUUUUUCUGGAAGGCCUACCUUUUCAUCCUUUGAUGGUUGGGGGAACCGAAGCACAAUGAGGGAGGUGAGUGUGCCAUACAAUGAGAAGACAGAACUCAGCGCUCUUCACUUCUCUGCCUGUGGGAAAGAGGCCAGUUCUAGGGGUGGGGAUCACGAAGGAGCACACUGCUUCCCUGUCCUUGUCACAUCCCAUGGCCAGUAGCCAUGUACUUUUUCCUCCUUUUUCUCCUGCCCAGCAAAUAUAGGCUCCAGCUGCAGCCACUUUGAAGAUAAAGUUUCCUCCAUAGGAAUUCUGCAAUACAGAUGUCUUUCCAUGGUCCCAGUUCAGCCCUGCACCAGUUCCUUUUCCCGCUGGGAAGUUUCUUUCCUCUUCCUGCUUCCAUGCAACUGCGAGGCAAGGCUCAAGCACACUUCCUUCUCCUUUUCCUGUGCCUUCCUGUGGAAGGAGCUCCCUCUUCUUCACUGCUCCGGGCUUUUCCCUACUCUGGCCCAGCCUUACGGGCAUUUUGCUCCAUAACUCUUCUGGAUCUGAACUGCUUUGAUUUCUCUCAAGUCAUGUCAGCGAAUCUCACAAAUGCAUUCUGAGAAAUACAUUCUGCAUUACAUUCUGAAAUACAUUCUGAAAUACAUUCUCUCACAAAUGCAUUCUGAGAAAUGCAUUCUGAGGAAUGCCUGAGAUGUUCCAGGCAGAAAAGAUUCAUGCCUCUUCUUAGAAAUGAACAAGGCAUAGUCAUCAAGCCUCUGAAAAGUCCUGCAGUCAGGAAACCUACUUUGUUUGUUUUUCAACCCAGUAUUUCCCAAACUGAGAUGGCCAUGAUUUCAUUUCCUCCAUCCCCACUGAAUCCUAUAACAACCUGCAGAACCAGUGAUCCACUGUGGAACACACUUUGGGAAACACUGUCCCCAGCCCUCCAAGAAGGCAUAGAGUUGACCUUGCCUUCAUUUAUUUAAACUCUUCCUGUUUCUCUGGGCUAUUUACUUAUUAUCUCACAUAUAAAAUAAUCUAAGGUGAUACCUGCCCAAUUGGGUUUUUAGAAAAGACAUACCCAAUGGGAAUGAAGAUUUUCUUAGCAGGAUUUGAUGAGCCCACUACUAGAAAAAAAAGAAUUUCCCAGAAUUUUGGGGUGGGGAGAGAAUUUGAUACAACCAGCAGAGGCUGGGUGCAGUGACCCACGCCUGUAAUCCUAGCACUUUGGUAGACCAAGGAAGGAGGAUUGCUUGAGCCCAGGAAUUCAAGACCAGCUUGGGCAACACAGUAAGAUCCCAUCUCAAUUUUUUAAAAAAGGAAGAACCAGCAGAAAGGGUUUAGCAAACUUACUUGUUUCCUAGUCAAUGGAUAAAGCCAGAGAUGUAAUGGCCAGAAACCAAAAUCUAGAGUUCAGUACCAGAUAAAUACUUUUUGAGUGAAUGAAUGAAUGAAUGAAUGAAUGAGCAGACUAUUGAUCACAAAGUUGGCAGACAUCGUGAAUGAAUGGAUGAACUAAUAAACAAUCAAAUAACUGGUCUCCAGGCCUCCAGACUUUCUGAACUUCAUUGUAUCUACCUGUUGUGGCCACAUACACAUCUUCUCAAAACCCAGAUCUCAUCAGUCCACUCUUCUGUUCCCUGGCUGGCUCCCUGUUGCCUUCAGGAUAAAGUCUACAUGCCUUUGUCCUGGCAUUGAAAACUCUGCAAAACAAAGCUCCAACCUAGCUUUCCAUCCUUCUUUCUCUUCCCCACUGGGUACCCCUUUCUGUAGUCACACCAGUCCCCAAUUCACUUUUAUCUGUCUCCUUUUCUUUCUCAAGCUAUUCCCUAUACUUCAUAUUUUCUCCCCUGCCUCCAUGGCUGCUUAUUCAAUCCUAGUGGUGCUUUCAGGCUCAGCUCAAACCUUAUCACCCAUGUUAAAUGAAAGAAGCCAGACACAAGAAGGGGACAUUCUGAAUGAUUCCAUUUGUAUGAAGGUUAAGAACAGGCAAAACUAUUGUGGGGAAAAAACAGAACUGUGGUUGCCUUUGGGGAGUGAGGAUUGAUUAGAAGGGAUUUUUAGGGUAUGUCAGUGUUCUUGAUCUUCAUUCCAGUGGUAGUUUCAUGGGUGAAUACAUUUUCCAAAAUUCAUUGAAUUGUACACUGAAGAUCUACAUUUCUCUGUAUUGUCAAUUUAAUCUAAAAAUAAAAAUCUUAGCACCCAGAUCUCCCUGGCAAGAAUUCA